CCUUGGGUCUCAGAGAAUUUGAUCUGGUCAGGAUGAACGCUAGCUACAGGCUUAACACAUGCAAGUCGAGGGGCAGCAUGAAGGUAGCUUGCUACCUUGAUGGCGACCGGCGCACGGGUGAGUAACGCGUAUCCAACCUGCCCGCUACUCGGGUAUAGCCCAGUGAAAACUGGAUUAAUCCCCGAUGGCAUCUUACGCUGACAUCAAAGUAAGAUUAAAGGUUACGGUAGCGGAUGGGGAUGCGUCCGAUUAGCUAUGUUGGCGGGGUAACGGCCCACCAAGGCGACGAUCGGUAGGGGUUCUGAGAGGAAGGUCCCCCACAUUGGAACUGAGACACGGUCCAAACUCCUACGGGAGGCAGCAGUGAGGAAUAUUGGUCAAUGGGCGAGAGCCUGAACCAGCCAAGUAGCGUGCAGGAUGACGGCCCUAUGGGUUGUAAACUGCUUUUAUCAGGGAAUAAAGUGCGGCACGUGUGCCGUUUUGUAUGUACCUGACGAAUAAGGACCGGCUAAUUCCGUGCCAGCCGCGGC
Molecule: ribosomal RNA, 530 nt
Filed under: uncultured bacterium
Lineage: Bacteria
Description: bacterial SSU rRNA
Rfam family: Bacterial small subunit ribosomal RNA
Source: RNAcentral